Molecule: non-coding RNA, 91 nt
Filed under: Thioalkalivibrio sulfidiphilus HL-EbGr7
Lineage: Bacteria; Pseudomonadati; Pseudomonadota; Gammaproteobacteria; Chromatiales; Ectothiorhodospiraceae
Description: Thioalkalivibrio sulfidophilus HL-EbGr7 Burkholderia RNA 7 (anti-hemB)
Rfam family: Burkholderia RNA 7 (anti-hemB)
About the family: This RNA motif was identified by computational search in b-proteobacteria Burkholderia. Co-purified with Hfq, expression confirmed by Northern blot. Putative functional homologue of SP-RydB and predicted target hemB.
Source: Rfam by way of RNAcentral
UCCCCGCUUCCCUCCCUGAGCGGGUGGAUGGCUCAGACUCCCCCAAGUUGAGCCUUUUAUUGAGCCCCGGCGCCCGCCGGGGCUUUUUUUU